UGCCAUCUCCAUGGACUGAGAGGUCGUGAUAGCCCUGCCUUAAAACACUGGCCUUGACUCUCCUGCCUUCCGUUGGGUGAACUCAGUGCAGAUCAUGGAGCAGGUCACGAUGCUCUCAAGUUGGUUCCCUCUGAGCGAGGAGCUCUUGACACAACAGCCGCAGUUUGGCCAGCCACUAAGUCCCACCAGCUGAGGUCCGAGGAAAGCGGGGUGACUCAUUUCCCUUGUCCAGGGCCCGAGGAGAGUGAGGUGUCCAGCCUGCAAAGCUAUUCCAGCUCCUUGGUGUUGGUUUGCAAUAAAUUGGUAUUUAAGCA
This 314-nucleotide long non-coding RNA is filed under the name Homo sapiens (human). Its description in RNAcentral is "non-protein coding lnc-CAMK2B-1:1". Lineage: Eukaryota; Metazoa; Chordata; Mammalia; Primates; Hominidae. The record is from RNAcentral.